This 229-nucleotide ribosomal RNA is filed under the name uncultured bacterium. RNAcentral's name for it is "partial 16S ribosomal RNA". It matches the Rfam family "Bacterial small subunit ribosomal RNA", at positions 568 to 796 of the family's 1533-position model. The record is from RNAcentral.
UGCGUAGGCGGCAUUGUAAGUCAGAUGUGAAAGCCCACCGCUUAACGGUGGAACUGCAUUUGAUACUGCAAAGCUUGAAUCAGGCUGAGGUCAGCGGAAUGUGUCAUGUAGCGGUGAAAUGCAUAGAUAUGACAUAGAACACCAAUUGCGAAGGCAGCUGGCUAGACCUGUAUUGACGCUGAGGCACGAAAGCGUGGGGAGCGAACAGGAUUAGAUACCCUGGUAGUCC